RNAcentral lists this ribosomal RNA (375 nucleotides) under Colpodea sp. BioMarKs_Marine_Colpodea_OTU_2. Its description in RNAcentral is "SSU rRNA". It matches the Rfam family "Eukaryotic small subunit ribosomal RNA", at positions 587 to 972 of the family's 1831-position model. The record is from RNAcentral. Lineage: Eukaryota; Ciliophora; Colpodea.
AGCUCCAAUAGCGUAUAUUAAAGUUGUUGCAGUUAAAAAGCUCGUAGUUGAAUUUCUGGCUAGCGCUGCGCAUGGCUCUCUGAGCCGGCGUUGUCGUUUAGUCAUCCGUAUGGGGAAGCUAGCUCGGCCUUCACUGGUCGGCUAGUGGAUCAUACACUUUACUUUGAAAAAAUUAGAGUGUUUCAGGCAGGCAAUUGCUUGGAUACUUCAGCAUGGAUAAUGGAAUAGGACUUUGACCUAUUUGUUGGUUUCUUCGAGGUCAAGGUAAUGAUUAAUAGGGACAGUUGGGGGCAUUCAUAUUUAAUUGUCAGAGGUGAAAUUCUUGGAUUUAUUAAAGAUGAACUUAUGCGAAAGCAUUUGCCAAGGAUGUUUUCA